Long non-coding RNA from Lutra lutra (Eurasian river otter), 271 nucleotides. RefSeq lists it as uncharacterized. The transcript is spliced from 3 exons. The record is from RefSeq and is a predicted model, not a curated record. Lineage: Eukaryota; Metazoa; Chordata; Mammalia; Carnivora; Mustelidae.
GGAUAUGUUAAGGUUGCUGCAGCUUGGCCAUUCUUGGUUUGGCUAGAGAGUUAAGUUCAUCUCCCACCAGCCCAGUUGUAGAAAGAAUGCCAUCCAGAUACAUGUGUCGUGAUAAAUCACUGACAUUGUGACUUGCAUUCCCUGGGGAUGAGUGAUGUUAAGCAUCUUUUCUUAGGUCUAUUGGCUAUCUCUGUGUCUUCCUUGGAAAAGUGUUCAGGCUUCAAGCCUAGCGUAGAGCCAGUGGGACUUGAACUCACGACCCUGAGAUCAA